CGGUAAUUCCAGCUCCAAGGGCGUAUACUAAUGUUGUUGCUGUUAAAAAGCUCGUAGUUGGACUUGGAUCUGUUCUGUGCUAGCCACCAUUGGAGUCUCUGGAUCCACGUGGUUACUGGCUGCUUUGAUCCGUGUUUGGCACAAUUGGAUUAGAUCUUUUUCACUGGUUGACUCUGUCUGUGUGAUGGCCUCUUCACUGAGUCCAGAUCGAAUGGAGCCUCUUGGUUCGACUCUGGGGCUGCUCGCAGCCCGAGCGUGGUUCGUAAUGCUUCUCACGCAGUGUGCAUUUGCAUAAGGACAGUUGAUCGUGAUAUCGAGAACAAAACAGCGUGCUUAAGGCUGGAUCAGUAGAUGACAAAGCGUGCUAUAUCAAUGAACCGACCGGUUAUGUGCGGUUUGCAGAUUUCUGCAUGUAAUAGCGGGGAGUCUGAGCUUGUUGGCGUUGGGAAUGUACCCAUCGGCUCACCUCGGUGACCGUGGGACCACAGACCCAAUCAGCUACUCGUUUCAACGAUAUUAACAGGGACCGAUGGAGCAGUCCGUAUUGUCAGACGAGGGGUGGAAUCCUUAGACUCUGACAAGACGAACAAGGGCGAAAGCACUCUGCUAAGAGGCCUUCAUUAAUCAAGAACGAGAGUGCAGGGAUCGAAGAUGAUCAGAUACCGUCGUAGUCUGCUACUGUAAACGAUGCAAACUAGGGAUCAGUUGAUGGGACAACAUGAUUCUGUUGACUCGGUUGGUACCUCCGCUUCUCUCUUAACGCGAAAGCUGCAAGUCUUCGUGUUCAGGGGGGAGUACAGUUGCAAGGCUGAAACUUAAAGGAAUUGACGGAAUGACACCACAAGGCGUGGAUGCUGCGGCUUAAUUUGACUCAACACAGAGAGUGUUACCAGAUCAUGAGGUUUGGAGGAUUGACAGAUUGACAGUUCUUUCUUGAUUCAGUUAAUGGUGGUGCAUGGCCGCUCCUGGUUGGUGGAGUGAUUUGUCUGGUUGAUUCCGUUAACGAACGAGAUCCCACCCCUUCGAUUUCAGUUAUAUCGUACGUAAUCAUUGGACGCUAGCUCAUGUGGUUCGUCCGUUGGUGAGAUCUAAGAUGUAUGCAAGGGGACUAUGUGUGUUGAUAACACAUUGAAGUCUGGGCCAAUAGCAGGUCUGUGAUGCUCCUAGAUGUUCUGGGCUGCACGCGGCAUACAAUGGUGAAAGCAGUAGGAUUGGUUCGAUCGAGCUCCUGUUUCGAAAAUAUUGGGAAAUCCCCUCAGAUUUGACUGUGGCUGGGAUAGACAAUUGCAACUGUUUGUCUUGAACUAGGAAUGCCUUGUAAGCACAUCUCAUUACAGUGUAUUGAAUGCGUCCCUGCCGUUUGUACACACCGCCCGUCGUUGCAAUCGAUUGGUUUGAUCGUAGAGUACUUCUGGAGAAACACCAGCAGGCUCUCUCGAGUCUGAUGAUUGGGUUGAAGUUGAGCAAUACUGUGGAACUAGAGAAUGCAAAAGUCGUAACAAGGUAGCCG
This 1510-nucleotide ribosomal RNA is filed under the name uncultured euglenozoan. RNAcentral describes it as "bacterial SSU rRNA". It matches the Rfam family "Eukaryotic small subunit ribosomal RNA", at positions 577 to 1805 of the family's 1831-position model. The record is from RNAcentral. Lineage: Eukaryota; Euglenozoa.